AUUGAACGCUAGCGGCAGGCUUUACACAUGCAAGUCGAACGAGUGGCGGACGGGUGAGUAAUAUAUGGGAACGUGCCUAGUAGCGGGGGAUAACUACUGGAAAGGGUAGCUAAUACCGCAUACCAUCAGAUGAGCCCAUAUGGGAUUAGCUAGUUGGUGGGGUAACGGCUCACCAAGGCGACGAUCCCUAGCUGGUCUGAGAGGAUGAACAGCCACACUGGGACUGAGACACGGCCCAGACUCCGACGGGAGGCAGCAGUGGGGAAUAUUGGACAAUGGGGGCAACCCUGAUCCAGCCAUGCCGCGUGUAUGAAGAAGGCCUUCGGGUUGUAAAGUACUUUUGGCAGGGAAGCGUUACCUGCAGAAGAAGCACCGGCUAACUACGUGCCAGCAGCCGCGGUAAUAC
This 406-nucleotide ribosomal RNA is filed under the name uncultured bacterium. RNAcentral's name for it is "partial 16S ribosomal RNA". It matches the Rfam family "Bacterial small subunit ribosomal RNA", at positions 30 to 526 of the family's 1533-position model. The record is from RNAcentral.